GGAGGUUAAAAUCCUCCNUAC
RNAcentral lists this transfer RNA (21 nucleotides) under Sebastes emphaeus (Puget Sound rockfish). RNAcentral's name for it is "partial tRNA-Thr". Lineage: Eukaryota; Metazoa; Chordata; Actinopteri; Perciformes; Sebastidae. The record is from RNAcentral.